Molecule: ribosomal RNA, 453 nt
Filed under: uncultured bacterium
Lineage: Bacteria
Description: bacterial SSU rRNA
Rfam family: Bacterial small subunit ribosomal RNA
Source: RNAcentral
UACGGAAGGCAGCAGUGGGGAAUAUUGCACAAUGGGCGCAAGCCUGAUGCAGCCAUGCCGCGUGUAUGAAAAGGGCCUUCGGGUUGUAAAGUACUUUCAGUCGUGAGGAAGGUGUUAAGGUUAAUAACCUUAGCAAUUGACGUUAGCGACAGAAGAAGCACCGGCUAACUCCGUGCCAGCAGCCGCGGUAAUACGGAGGGUGCGAGCGUUAAUCGGAAUUACUGGGCGUAAAGGGCACGCAGGCGGUUAAUUAAGUUGGAUGUGAAAUCCCCGGGCUUAACCUGGGAAUGGCAUUCAAGACUGGUUAGCUAGAGUCUUGUAGAGGGGGUAGAAUUCCAUGUGUAGCGGUGAAAUGCGUAGAGAUGUGGAGGAAUACCGGUGGCGAAGGCGGCCCCUGGACAAAGACUGACGCUCAUGUGCGAAAGCGUGGGGAGCAAACAGGGAUUAGAUACC